UCCAACUUCUUGAAGCCAUAAUUCACACUUGUUGAAUUUUGCAUACAACUGUUUUUUACGCAAAAUCUAUAUUACAGUUCUCAAAUGCCGAGCAUGUUCAUAUUUUGUCUUGGAGUAGAUCAAUAUAUCAUCUAUAAAUAUUAUAAACCAUAAGCUAUACAUAUUCUUACCCCAUGCUUGGCAUACUUAUGGAUGAAUUUUCCUUGGUUUUAUUGAAUUCGAUGCUCGUAAUCCUUUAAUUUCAUGUUUUAUACUCAAGAGAGCAUAGUAAAGAUAAAAGAGCAAGAAACAAACCAAAAAGGGACAAAAUAGGCUAAUUUUAGCGUUCUAUAUGGACUAGGCACUUCCACACCCCCGUGCGUGUCGGCAUUAAAUAAAGUCAGAAUUGUAAACGGCCUGAGAACUUUCACACGGGCGUAACAGACGGCCUUGUCCUUGUCAAACCCAAGUUUAAUUCUAUUAAGAAAAGGCUAAUUUUGGGCUAUUCUGGGCAUUCCAAAGUCUAUAAAAACACCUUAGAAGAGGACCAAAAAGGACACGCAUAAUAGAGGGUAGAAAAUACUCAAGGAUAGCCAUCGGGAUCAGCUCAGAAGUAGGAUCUACUUCAAGACUGAAGAUCUUCAUUAUCUUUUCUUAGAAGUUCUUUGGUUUCUUUAUGUUUUGUUGUUUUCCCAAUUUUGAUAUGUUUUCAAUUAUUAUGAACUAAACUCCCUAAACACCUAAGGGAGAUAAAAUCUAAGACGGAUCUUAUUACUAUUUGAAUUAUAUGAUAAAUACUUGUUCUUAUUCUUAAUUGUGAGUUUUAAUCCUUGUUUUAAUAUUCCAGGAUAUAUAAUUCAGGUUUUGAUGUGCUUAUUCAGUGGAGUAAAAGUCCCUGUUUAAAAGUAGAUCUUCCAUAAUUAAGGGGACUUGCAUGCAAUCUUACAGAUAGGACGACAUAAAUCUGCCGGCUUAGAGUCAAAUCUAUUAAGGGAAUCCAUAGAUCGAAUUAAUACGAUAGUAGGGGUUUUAAUUAGUAAGAGAUUUCAAUUAAUCAACCUAGAGUCAGUUGUUUUUAGUCUCGAAAGAGAUAAUGACAUAAAUUAGAGAUUUCUACGGAUUAAGUCAAGUGAAUAAAUCAUCUAAUUCAGAAGUAAAAAGUGAAGUCUAGGUGAAUUCGUCCUUGGGUAUUGUCUUCUCUAUCAAUUUUUCAAACAGUAUUUUCUAAUUUUUUAUCUCUGUCGUAAUCUUAGUCAAUUAGAUAAUUAGUCUUAGUUUAAAACAUCCCUUAAUUCUUAAGUUAGAUAAUAAAAAGAUAGUUGUACAGCCCAAAUUUUGCCCGGGCUAAAAAGCCCAACAUCUAAAAACCCAACAGCCCAAAACCCUUUAACACUAGCCCAUAGCAAUUAAAAAAAAAGAAAAAAGAAGAAGACUAAAAAAAAAAAAACCUAGCCAUCAUCCCUAUGCUUGACUCGGCCAACUUGCCCUGUCUCAUUGCCCAUACCUCCACUUACUCCAUCCCCAUAUGUCCCGCUCCAUGUUUUGGCCCAUGUUUCAUGCCCCUCGUUCUCCACAACUUCAACACCUGCAAUUGGAGCAAAGAGAUAGGUAGAAAAUGUAUGGUUUUUGGCUAUAAAACCUUCAAUUUUUCAUUGUAAAAGGGGGAGAAGAGAUUGUACUAAAGAGGUUUUUUUUUAGAAAAAGAACAAUGAUACUACAUGCAAUAGAGAGCUUUCUUUUUCGAAUAUAAUAGAGAAUAUACAAAGUCAAGAGUAAAUCGAGAAUUGGGACUGAGGUACUAAAGUUUAUAUACAAAUCUCAUGCAAGAAUCAGUAAAAAUACCCACCAAGGAAUAGUUUCAAAGGUGAUUUUAUUUUGUUUUUCUUCAAUUUUUUUUCAAAUCGGAUCCACAAUAUAAGUUAAAAAAUAGGAGACAAGAAGGGAGACUUACCGCGCCUCAUGUUUGCGCCGUCGAGAGGGCCUUGCUUCGCCAGUCGCCGGCGACCUUUGGGUGGUUGAAGGCCUGGGCAUAAGCCUUUCGGCGAAGAGCAGAGAGGGGGGGGGGAGUGUGAAGAUUUCAAACUUUUCCUUAGAAAAGUCAAAGCUUAAAUUUUUAAAGGAAAAAAUGAAUUGAAAUGGGUUUUAACUUUGUAUAAUAAAACAAAACAGCAUGCCAGUACAUGUUUUGACUGGGUCCACACGCAUUUUACCCUUAAAUGGGUAAUUUGCGUGGCCAGUCCUUCCUAUUUGCGCCAUCCUUGAUUUGACCCUAUUUGGUUUCUUUAAUUUGGCCCUAAAAUUUAUCGCGAUUUUCAAUUUAAUCCUAGCUGGUGCUAUGCGUUUUAGAAAGGGGGUUAUUACACUUUAGGCCCUUCGUUGUUUCAUGCGUGUUUAAAUAAGCCCUUUUCUUUUUUUUUAAUUUGCCCCAAAACUUUAGCCCUUUUUUUAAUUUAAGUUGAAUUUUAUAUUAUCUUUGCUAUUUUAAUUUAUAAUAUUAGUUCCAAUAAUAUUAUAUAUAUACUUUUAAAUACACUAUUUUAUUUUCUAUUAUUAUAAAUAUUAAUAUUUUCCUUCCGUUAUUAUUAUAUCGUAUCGUCCUUUUUUAUUAUCAUAUCAUUAUGUACACAUUAUUUAUAUUAUUUUUACUACUAUUAUUAUAUCUAUUAUUAGUAUUAGUAUUAUAAUUACUAUUAUUACACUUUUAUAUAUAUAUAUUUAUAUGUAAAGUUAUCAAUGGUUAUUUUUAUCAUCAUCUUAAUAUUAAUAUGUAUUUAUUUUUAACAUAUAUAUGUGUAUAUUUAUGAGGUAUUAUUAAUAAUUGUUUUGUAACAUUAUUAUUAUUUCUAAUGUGUAUGUAUUAUAUAUAUAUUUAAAACUAUAUUAUGUAUAUAUUAUAUAUAUUUAUUAUAUUUUUAUGUAUAUAUUUUUAAUAUCAUAUUAUUCAUAUAUUUUUUAUAUUAUGUAAAUAUUUUCAAUACUACAUUAUGUAUAUAUUUUUGUCUAUAUUGUAUACAUACUUUUAAUACUCAAUACUAUUAUCAUAAAUAUGUUCUUGAUAUAUGUAUGUACGUAUAUGUGUUUUUUUUUCUUUAUUCACAUAUUAUUAUCAUCAUUUUUCACUUUUUAUUAUACUAUUUUUAUUUUUGUACAUACUUCUAAUAUCAUUAUUAUUACUAUUAUUAUUAUAUAUAUAUAUAUAUAUAUAUGUGUGUAUAUUUCAUGUAAUAUUUAUGUUUCAUUAUUAUUUCUAGUAUGUAUAUAUUAUGUAUAUAUUUUUAAUACUACGUAUACAUUUUUAUUUCUAUUAUUACGUAUAUAUUUUAAUACAUAUAUGUAUAUAUUUAUAUACCGUUAUCAUUAGUUAUUUCUUAUUAUCAUUGUUUUCAAUAAAUAUUGUAUAUAUAUUUUUAAUCUAGUAUUAUAUGUUGUACAUAUAUAUGUUCCCUCCUAUUUCAUAUUUACAUUAUUAUUACCAUGUUUAAUACCAUGUGUUAUUAUCGUUUCGUACUAUUAUUAUUUAUAUUAUUAUUAGUUUUCAUUAUCAUUGUCAUUUUUAUUUUACCGUGUUUUAUUUAUUUUUACGCGUUCGAUCAUUUCAUUUUCCUUAUGUAUUUGUUUAUAUUUGCAUAUUGCUAGCCUUGCUAUUAUUUCACCUUUUAUAAUUGUUCAUAUUAUUAUUUUUGACAUUGUCGCACCUAUUAUUAUGUUAUUACAUAUUAGCACCAUAAUUUGCUCUCAUGUUUUACCAUAAAUAACAUUAUGUUUUCCACUUGAUGCCUUAAAAUGAUUCUUUCAUAAAAGUGAUAUUCCGUAUUUGGUAAUUCGAGACAAUCGUGCCCUAACUUACUGGGUUUCGAUUUUUCUCAUUUAACCUAAAUAACGGGAUACUCUUUUAAAACGCAAUACGAGUUUUGAAAAAUACUUAUUAUCGGAGAUACGAGGUGUUGUGCCCUAACUUACCGGGUAUGGCAUUUUGUUACCUCGAAAUAGGAUUUUUCGCAAGUAAAGGCAAUAUUAGAUGUUUGGCAAUUCGGGGAAUCGUGCCCUAUUGUGCUGGGUUGCAAUUUCCUGUUUGUUCGAAAUAAUCGAAUAUUCCUUCGGUGUUCCACUCAUGUCUUUUAAAAAAUUUCAUUAAAACGAAAGAGAUGUUCGAUAUUUAGCAAUUCAUGGAAUCGUGCCCUAACGUGUUGGGUUGCAAUUUCUCAUUUGCUCAAAAUAAUCGAAUGUCUCUUUAGAAUUUCAUUCAUGUUUUCUAAAAAAAACACUUAUAAAGGAAAUGUUCGGUAUUUAGCAGUUCGGGGAAUAGUACCCUAUCGUGCUGGGUUGCAAAUCUCCCGUUUGUUCAAAAUAAUCGAAUAUCCCUUUGGAAUUUCACUCGUGUUUUCUAAGGCGAGGCAAUGUUCAAUGUUUGGUAAUUCGAGGAAACGUGCCCUAACUUACUGGGUUUCGACUUUCCUCAUUCAUCUUAACUAACCGAAUAUCCUUUUGAAAUACACGUAUUUUUAUAUAAAAGCCAAGCUCACUCUCGAAAAUUCAAGAUGUCGUGUCCUAACUUACUGGAUGUGACAUUUUAUAUUUUGAGAUGAGAAGGUCUUUAACAUUUGAGCAUUUUCUUUACAAAGAGGGAUCGUAUUUUAAAUUCUUUCAAGUUUUCAAAUUUUCGACACUAAGACACUAAUUAAUCAACUAGGUACCAAUUUUUGGGCGUUACGAGGGUGCUAAUCCUUUCUCGUGCGUAACUGACUCCCGAACCUGUUUUCUUGAUUUACGUGGACCAAAAUCGUUGUUUAAAUAAAUCAAACCAUUUAUUAAAAACAACCACUUUUACAAGGUGAUCCAAUCACACCUAAAUAAAAAAGAUUGGUGGUGACUCCAUUUUCGCUUUCCAAAAAGUCGAUCCAUCAUUUUUAAUUUUUUUAAAUCGAAAUAAAAAAUGGUUUCGACAGGUUGGCGACUCCGCUGGGGACAAUAAGAGAGUCAAGCCGUAAAAUUGAUUAUUUUUUGUCCUUUUGUCAAAAAUUUAAAAUUUGGUUUUUUAACAAAUGAUCCUUUUACUUCAUUUGUUUUGGUUCAAGUCCUAUAGAAUAGUUUUGCAUUGAAUUGCAUGACCGUUGUGGUCACACUUUUUAAGUGGGAGUGAGAAACUAUGCUUUCGUGAGGUUUUCACCUCCGCAUGGGCUAAGGGAUCGCUUCUGGAAUACAUCUGUACUUAUGUCUUCGUGAGGUUUUCACCUCCGCAUGGGCAUAAGGAAAUGUAUUCCUCUGAAUUGAACUUGGUCCAUAUGAGCCUAUAAUGGGUGAAGACCGAGGAAUCUGCUGGUUCGGGUACCCUUACUCUAGAAUCGAGCCACAUAUAGAGACACCUAGGAGCUUACCCUAGGUAGAACCACUCCGAGCCUCUAGUGAUCACCCGAAUAGGUAUUUUAUUUGUUGUUUAUUCCUAUACUAACGUGUUUUAUUUUUGUUUGUUCAUAACUGCAUUGCAUUACAUCAUCAUAGAAAGGAGGUGUUGAUAUUCAAUUGCUAAAUAGAACAAAUUGUCAUAAUAAAACAAAUUUCUUAAUAACGCAGAUUACAAUACGGUUGUCCGAAUUCGGUCCAAGUGAACACAACAGAAGAAGGCUAACAGUUCGUGGAAGAAAACAAAACUUUACCUAAGGGUUCAAGCUGAUAAAGAUUAUCCAAAAAACCGUCGCGUCCCAACUUUCUUAAAGGAGCUAAUCAACAUUGCGAGGAUAGUAAUUCGUGGCCUGGAUCAAGCAAAAAGGAGCUAGUAGAGGCAUGCAUUGGAAGCUUGCAAGAUUUGACUUUCACAAAGAAAGAGGAUCAGUGGCUUCAUCUCGAAUACGAAAGCAAGGCCAUAUACGUAAUCCAUUUUAUGAAAAAGAAUUUGUUUUAUAGAAAAGUUGUUCUAGGGGAAUUGAAUUCAAAAUCAACAUAUUUCUUUUCUUUGCAUUCAUCCCAUGCAUUUGCAUUGCAUUGCAUCAUUUACAUUGCAUUGCAUCAUGUGCAUUGCAUUGCAUCAUUUGCAUCAGAUUUUCCUAAAACGUCCUUAAUUAGGUAAAAUUAUUUUCGAAUCGACAAAAGAUAUGGACCAAAGGUUAGAGAGAAUGGAGCAAAGGAAAAUGUAGAUGUAAGAGCAGUUGAUCGAAAUUCAACAGGAUUUGCGAGAAAUGCUAGAACUCCAAAGAAAUAUGAUGGGCAAGUUAACCCAUUUACUGGCCGGAGAAUUUGAAAAAAGGAGUGGCCCAGUGGUUAAUAGUGAGGAUUAUGUUGAAGAGAUCAUCUAUUCCUCAGGGUUUGCCCCAAUAACGUCCCGACCCAACCAGACAUGCAAGGGGUACCCGUUGUUAUAGGACACCAAUGCCAGACGGAUACAUCAGCACUAUUGAGCUUCUCGAUGGGUUCAGGUUUUAACCCGAAAGAUGAUCAAGCCGAGCCAGUUGUUCUGGCAGAAAUGAAAGCAAGGGGAAAGUGAACUUUAAAGACCCCGAAAAAGAAGAAAAAGAAGGCAAAUAGUACGAGUAGGUAUAACAAGGGUCAUUCGAAGCCGGUUAUAACAGGCCGGCCAAGGUCAGUAACUACCAACCAUCAGAACUCCUUAAGGCAAGAACCCAAUCGAAGACUGAGCUCAGAAAAACCCCAAUACAAUCCCAUUCCAAUCACGUACGGAGAGUUGUACCGCAUUUUGUUCGAAGCACAUGUCGUAUCCCCUUUUUACAUGAAACCUAUACUGCCCCCAUAUCCUAAAUGGUACGAUGCAAGCAGCCAAUAUGAAUACCACGCGGGAAUCACGGGACAUUCCAUCGAGAACUAUACCACUUUUAAAAAGAUUGUCGAAAGACUCACCAAUUUGGGUAUCGUAAAAUUCGAUGAUCCCUUUAGAGCGGAAAAUCGAUUAUCUAACCUUUCUGUUAAAGAGGCGAAUGUUAUGAGUUCCAUACUGGAUUGGGGCAUGAGAUUUAAGGGUGCAUCGAGCUCGGAACUCUAAUGCAAGGCCUGGUAUUGGGAAACCCAAACAUCAACGACGUAUCAGAAGAGGGAACCCGGGAGUAGACUUUUUCAAGCUUCUGCCCUUACGUACUUAGGGUGUUUUAAAUAAGGGGACUGUGAAAAGGAUCCUUUAUUUUUAGAGAUAAUCUAGAGUAAUAGUCAAAACAAGCUUAUUGUUUUAAACCGAAGCAACAAGAAUCCUUUUGUGAAAUAGGCUUAUAUCCAAAAUCUUUAUUUCAAUGAAAUACAUGUUUGAGUAAAUAUUCUUUUAUUCUUUCCAUUUUAUACUGUACAAACGACUAUUCUUAGAUUCCUUCAUUCAUGAUCAUACCAUACAAAUAAUAAUUCUUAGAAUCAUUUAGUCUUUGGAAAAUGCCUUCGUACCUAUAACAGGUCUCCAGACAUCAAUGACGUGAGCGAUGUUGCCACUAAUUCUGAGUCUCUUUUUUGAGCAAGAUAUGUGUCUAGAGGGAUCUUAGGACUUUGAAGAUGAUAGAGAUUGUGACUUAUUUCCUGAUUUGUUAAGGACGGUAGAACAAGAUGAAAAACAGAUCCAACUAUGCAAAGGGUCAGUGGCAUUGCGAGCCUUGGAAAGAAGUGAAGAUCGAAGCCUAGCUCACCACAAAGAUAAAGCAAGACAUCAUUGAGUUAUUCCCAAUUCAAAGAUAUUUUCACAUGAUUGAAUCAAGAUAUGCCUAAGCUACUAAGACGUGAGAAUGUUACGGGGUUUUUUUGAAUGACGUAUGUUAAUGACAUAUACAAUGGCCGAGCUAAUCAAGAGAUUUGGUUUCUGCCGGUCCACCAUAGAAAGGGAUUGCAUCAGUAUGCGGUAAAUGCCAAAUUUAUGGAGACAAGAUUCAUGUGCCCUUUCAUUUCUUCGUAGACUCUAUGUGGGGCAUGGAGGUUAUGGGCCGAUCUCUUUGAAAGCUUCUAACCAAUAUCGACUCGCCUUUGGGGUCGUCAAUUACUCCGCGGAAAGGGUGAAAGUUGUUUCAUAUGCCAAUGUCACUAGGUCGACAAUCAUCAAAUUCCAAAAAAAGGGUUCCAACAAAGAAUGCUAGAAAAAAAUAACAACUGUACAAUGUCAAAAGUUUGCAGUCUGUUCAAAGAUUAGGCGCUAUAUUGCAAAAAAAAAAUUAAUUAAGAUAAUGGGGAAGAUGACCGAGACUAAUAAAGAUCUGGCAUAAGGAGUCACCAUUUACCCUCUAUGUUCAUCGAAUGUUGGCCAAGACCUUCACCAGGGCAACAUAUUUCAUUAGUCUAUGGGAUAGAAAUGAUUUUAAAGAAGAGAUUUCUUGUUUCUUAGUCUUGUCAGAGCUGAAGUUGGAUAAGGCAAAAUGGAUCCAAUCCUGAUGUGAUUAGUUGAAUGUGAAAAAAAGGAGGUUGAAAGCCAUCCGUCAUGAUCCAAUGAAUGAUGUGAGCUUACGAUGAAGAGGUUCAUCCUAAAGAAUUCCACGUGAGAAGCUUGAUAUUGGAAAAGAUCCCUCCUAUACAAAAGAACUUCUGAGAAAAGUGGAUGUCAAACUGAGAAGGACUUUAUGUAGUAAAGAAGACCUGUUUGGGAGGGGCAUUAAUAUUGACAGAAAUGGAUGGUAAAGAUUUGCCAAAGUCGGUGAAUUCAGAUUUCGUCAAGAAGUAUUUCACCUAGAAAAUGAGAGGCCAAGGCGAAGACCCGCAAAGAGCGCUUUGAGACCCUUAAAAAAAAAGAGGAGAGGCCAAAGAGAAAACCCGCAAAGGGCGCUUUGAGACCAAAGGGGAUUUGAGUUGAAAACCCAAAAAAGGUGGCUCAAAUUUGGAUCAAAAUGGGCAUGCAGCAGCUUUGCUAUGCCUAAAUUAAUAAAGAAGAAGUAUGUUGCAUGGACAAAGUGCUUCGGAUCCCCUAAACACGUAUUGAGCUCGGAAAGGUCCUUAAGAAGUUGGUACAGAGAAGCUCAAGCUACGAUAUCUGGGGCACCUAGUUUUCAUUUUGCUCAUUUUUGAAUUUGUGAUCUUUGAGUACCUUAUUCUUUUCAAGAUACGUCCCAAUAAACUUCAUUUUUAUUGCAUUGCUAUCUUUGAUUAACUUAUUGCCUCCUUAUUGCAUUUGUAAUCUUUGAUUAAUUUAUUAAUUUUGAGCUAUGCUCCCAAUCAAUUUCCUUCUUGUCCAUUGUUUUGAUAUUUUUCAAGCAUUUUGUAUUGAAAUAAUGAUUAAUGGACCAAUAAUACUUUCAUAAAAGAAGUUUUGCAUAUUACUUUGGAAGUUUCUAAAUAAUACAAGGACUUGAAACAGGACUAUUGUUCAGAACUCACCAAGCCUAAGGGUUGAAAAUAUUUAAGCCUAAAUUGAAAUUAUCUCAUUGGGUUUUCUGUUAAAGAUAUUAGUUGAGCAGAAAAAUCACAUUGGUGUUACAAUCCUGGUAAAAAAACAAGCAAUAGAGGGUCAUUCUCGAGAAAAGAAAAUGGUACUCUACAUUCAUAUACAUCUGGUCAUUACACCCAAGGAAUAGUGUAACAGAUCAAACUGAUUGAAGAUGAUACAAAUCCUAUGCCUUUGAGUUGCAGCGGAAUGGAUGGAAGAAACCAAAUGUUAUUCCUCUGAAAUUGCAAUAGGAGGCACAAACUUUAUGUCCCAAAAGGUACAGUGGAAGGGACUCUGAAAUUACAGUGGGGCAAGCUUGCUGAACAAAAUGUGAUUGUUUCUUUGACUUUUCUGUCAAGAAUACCAGCCGAACAAGAUGCCAACGUAAUACGUCAGCGAUAAUGUCCUAAUGAACAACGAACGAUGAUACCUUAAGCCUUUCUUUUAAAAAAAAAGGCUCAGGACAUUUCUACAUUCAUAUAAUAACACAUCUAGUUAGGAGCAUUUGACUCAUUUCAUAACAUCCUAAUUAUUUGACAUAAAGCAUCACAUUUAGUUAGGAGCAUUUGAUUCAUUUCAAUCAUAGCAUCCUAAUUAUUUGGCAUAAGCAUGGAUACAUGAAACUGAUUUUACAGAUCAUGUUCCUCAGAGGACAGUGCAGUAGAGUCGGUGAAUUCACAAGUCUUAACCCCCUAAGCAGUGGGGCAACAAGCUGAAGAUAUCCAAGAUGAUUUGGCAUCUCUGUAUCAGGCGGGGAGAAGAUCGAAGACAUAGCUGAUUUGGCUUUCACGUGUUUACGUUGAAGCAGAUCCAAGAUGAUUUGGCAUCUCAGUAUCAGGCGGGGAGCAGAUCGAAGACAUAGCUGAUUUGGCUUUCACGUGUUUAUGUUGAAGCAGAUCCAAGAUGAUUUGGCAUUCUGUAUCAGGCGGGGAGUAGAUCAAAGACAUAGCUGAUUUGGCUUUCAUGUGUUUACGUUAAAGCAAAUACAAGAUGAUUUGGCAUCUCUGUAGCGGCGGAGAGCAGAUCGAAGAUAACAGAUUUGACGUUUCUGUAGCGGCGGAGAGCAGAUCGAAGAUAACAGAUUUAGCGUAUCUGUAGCGGCGGAGAGCAGAUCGAAGAUAAUAGAUAUCUCUGUAGCGGAAGAGAGCAGAUCGAAGAUAACAGAUUUGGCGUCUCUGUAGCGGUGGAGAGCAGAUCGAAGAUAAUGGAUUUGGUGUCUCUGUAUUGUCAGAGGGCAGAUCGAAGAUAAUGGAUUUGGCGUAUCUGUAUUGUCAGAGGGCAGAUCAAAGAUAACAGAUUUGGUGUCUCUGUAGCGGCGGAGAGCAGAUCGAAGAUAACAGAUUUGGCGUCUUUGUAGCGGUAGAGAGCAAAUCGAAGAUAACAGAUUUGGCGUCUCUGUAGCGGCGAAGAGCAGAUCGAAGAUGAUUUGGCAUCUCUGUAGCGGCGGAGAACAGAUCGAAGAUAACAAAUUUGGCAUUUCUGUAGCGACGGAGAGCAGAUCAAAGAAAACAGAUUUGGCGUCUUUGUAGCGGCGGAGAACAGAUCAAAGAUAACAGAUUUGGAGUCUCUGUAGCGGCGGAGAGCAGAUCGAAGAUAACGGAUUUGGCGUCUCUAUAUUGUUAGAGGGCAGAUCAAAGAUAACAGAUUUGGUGUCUCUGUAGCGGCGGAGAGCAGAUCGAAGAUAAUAGAUUUGGCGUCUCUGUAGCGGUAGAGAGCAGAUCGAAUAUAACAGAUUUGGCGUCUCUGUAGCGGCAGAGAGCAGAUCGAAGAUAACAGAUUUGGAGUCUCUGUAGCGGCGGAGAGCAGAUCAAAGAUAACGGAUUUGGCAUCUCUGUAUUGUCAGAGGGUCGAUCAAAGAUAACAGAUUUGGCGUCUCUGUAGCGGCGGAGAGCAGAUCGAAGAUAACAGAUUUGGCGUCUCUGUAGCGGUGGAGAGCAGAUCGAAGAUAACAGAUUUGGCGUCACUGUAGCGGCGGAGAGAAGAUUGAAGAUAACAGAUUUAGCGUCUCUGUAGCGGCGGAGAGCAGAUCAAAGAUGAUUUGGCAUCUCUGUAGCGGCGGAGAGCAGAUCGAAGAUAACAGAUUUGGCGUCUCUAUAGCGGCAGAGAGCAGAUCGAGGCGUCUCCGUAGCGGCGAAGAGCAGAUCAAAGAUAACAGAUUUGGCAUCGCUGCAGCGGCGGAGAGCAGAUCAAAGAUAACAGAUUUGGCGUCUCUGUAGCGGCAGAGAGCAGAUUGAAGAUGAUUUGGCGUCUCUGUAGCGGCGGAGAGCAGAUCAAAGAUAAUAGAUUUGGCGUCUCUGUAGCGGCGGAGAGCAAAUCGAAGAUAACAGAUUUGGCGUCUCUGUAUUGGCAGAGAGCAAAUUGAAAAUAACAGAUCGGUGUUCCUGAGUUUUCAAGAAGCAAGUUGAAGAUAACAAAUUUGACACUCCUGAAGACAUUGGAAUACCUUUAGGAAAGAUGAGGAGCAAGAUUUUGAGAUUUAGCUAGACCGGACAAAUUUGGUCCUUUUUAUAGUCUUUGCUCUGUUCUCGUUACACGACAACAAGCAAAAAGGGGCAGCUGUACAGCCCAAAUUUUGCCCGGCUUAAAAGCCCAACAUCUAAAAACCCAACAGCCCAAAACCCUUUAACACUAGCCCAUAGCAAUUAAAAAAAAGAAAGAAAAAAGAAGAAGACUAAAAAAAAACCUAGCCAUCAUCCCUAUGCUUGACUGUCGGCCAACUUGCCUUGUCCCAUUGCCCAUACCUCCACUUACUCCAUCCCCGAAUGUCCCGCUCCAUGUUUUGGCCCAUGUUUCACGCCCCUCGUUCUCCACAACUUCAACACCUGCAAUUGGAGCAAAGAGAUAGGUAGAAAAUGUAUGGUUUUUGGCUAUAAAGCCUUCAAUUUUUCAUUGUAAAAGGGGGAGAAGAGAUUGUACUAAAGAGGUUUUUUUUAGAAAAAGAACAGUGAUACUACAUGCAAAAGAGAGCUUUCUUUUUCGAAUAUAAUAGAGAAUAUACAAAGUCAAGAGUAAAUCGAGAAUCGGGACUGAGGUACUAAAGUUUAUAUACAAAUCUCACGCAAGAAUCAGUAAAAAAACCCACUAAGGAAUAGUUUCAAAGGUGAUUUUAUUUUGUUUUUCUUUAUUUUUUUUUCAAAUUGGAUCCACAAUAUAAGUUAAAAAAUAGGAGAGAAGAAAGGAGACUUACCGCGCCUCAUGUUUGCGCCGUCGAGAGGGCCUUGCUUCGCCGGUCGCCGGCGACCUUUGGGUGGUUGAAGGCCUGGGCAUAAGCCUUUUGGCGAAGAGC
Molecule: long non-coding RNA, 12596 nt
Filed under: Gossypium barbadense (sea-island cotton)
Lineage: Eukaryota; Viridiplantae; Streptophyta; Magnoliopsida; Malvales; Malvaceae
Description: long non-coding RNA (GBAR_LNC002934)
Source: RNAcentral